GUGAGGAAUAUUGGGCAAUGGGCGCAAGCCUGACCCAGCCAUGCCGCGUGAAGGAUGAAUGCCCUAUGGGUUGUAAACUUCUUUUGUACGGGACGAAACUCCUGGUCGUGACCGGGAUUGACUGUACCGUGCGAAUAAGCAUCGGCUAACUCCGUGCCAGCAGCCGCGGUAAUACGGAGGAUGCAAGCGUUAUCCGGAUUCAUUGGGUUUAAAGGGUGCGUAGGCGGAAUAAUAAGUCAGUGGUGAAAGCCUGCGGCUUAACCGUAGAAUUGCCAUUGAUACUGUUAUUCUUGAGUAUAGUUGAGGUGGGCGGAAUGUGUAAUGUAGCGGUGAAAUGCUUAGAUAUUACACAGAACACCAAUUGCGAAGGCAGCUCACUAAGCUGUUACUGACGCUGAGGCACGAAAGCGUGGGGAGCAAACAGGAUUAGAAACCCGGGUAGUCC
This 445-nucleotide ribosomal RNA is filed under the name uncultured bacterium. RNAcentral's name for it is "bacterial SSU rRNA". It matches the Rfam family "Bacterial small subunit ribosomal RNA", at positions 354 to 796 of the family's 1533-position model. The record is from RNAcentral.